UACGUAGUGUGCAAGCGUUGUCCGGAAUUAUUGGGCGUAAAGAGCUCGUAGGCGGUGUGUCGCGUCGGCCGUGAAAACCUGCAGCUUAACUGUGGGCUUGCGGUCGAUACGGGCAUCACUGGAGUUCGGCAGGGGAGACUGGAAUUCCUGGUGUAGCGGUGAAAUGCGCAGAUAUCAGGAGGAACACCGAUGGCGAAGGCAGGUCUCUGGGCCAUAACUGACGCUGAGAAGCGAAAGCAUGGGGAGCGAACAGG
This 254-nucleotide ribosomal RNA is filed under the name uncultured bacterium. RNAcentral's name for it is "partial 16S ribosomal RNA". It matches the Rfam family "Bacterial small subunit ribosomal RNA", at positions 524 to 776 of the family's 1533-position model. The record is from RNAcentral.